RNAcentral lists this ribosomal RNA (497 nucleotides) under uncultured bacterium. RNAcentral describes it as "partial 16S ribosomal RNA". It matches the Rfam family "Bacterial small subunit ribosomal RNA", at positions 28 to 507 of the family's 1533-position model. The record is from RNAcentral.
GAUGAACGCUGGCGGCGUGCCUAAUACAUGCAAGUCGAGCGAACGGACGAGAAGCUUGCUUCUCUGAUGUUAGCGGCGGACGGGUGAGUAACACGUGGAUAACCUACCUAUAAGACUGGGAUAACUUCGGGAAACCGGAGCUAAUACCGGAUAAUAUUUUGAACCGCAUGGUUCGAAAGUGAAAGACGGUCCUGCUGUCACUUAUAGAUGGAUCCGCGCUGCAUUAGCUAGUUGGUAAGGUAACGGCUUACCAAGGCAACGAUGCAUAGCCGACCUGAGAGGGUGAUCGGCCACGCUGGAACUGGGACACGCUCCAGACUCCUACGGGAGGCAGCAGUAGGGAAUCUUCCGCAAUGGGCGAAAGCCUGACGGAGCAGCGCCGCGUGUGUGAUGAAGGUCCUCGGAUCGUAAAACUCUGUUAGUAGGGAAGAACAUAUGUGUAAGUAACUGUGCACAUCUUGACGGUACCUAAUCAGAAAGCCACGGCUAACUACGUG